CAGUGCCGCGGGAAUACGUAGGGUGCGAGCGUUAAUCGGAAUUACUGGGCGUAAAGCGUGCGCAGGCGGUUUUGUAAGACAGGCGUGAAAUCCCCGGGCUCAACCUGGGAAUGGCGCUUGUGACUGCAAAGCUAGAGUGCGGCAGAGGGGGAUGGAAUUCCGCGUGUAGCAGUGAAAUGCGUAGAUAUGCGGAGGAACACCGAUGGCGAAGGCAAUCCCCUGGGCCUGCACUGACGCUCAUGCACGAAAGCGUGGGGAGCAAACAGGAUUAGAUACCCCUGUAGUCCCUGUCUCUUAUACA
RNAcentral lists this ribosomal RNA (301 nucleotides) under uncultured bacterium. RNAcentral's name for it is "partial 16S ribosomal RNA". It matches the Rfam family "Bacterial small subunit ribosomal RNA", at positions 509 to 808 of the family's 1533-position model. The record is from RNAcentral.